CCUUGAUCUCGCAGGUUCAAGCAAUCCUCCUGCCUCCCAAAGUGUUGGAAUUACAGCUGUAAGCCACUGUGCGCAACCAACCUUUCUUCCUUUUAAUGUAUGCAUUUGAAGUUACACAUUUCCUCUAAACCCUGCUUCAGAUGCACCCCACACAUCUGGUCACUUAACGAGCAUACGGUCUCUGGGUGUUUUCCUGUCACUGAUUCCCACUUUAAUCCACUGUUGAGAUGCCUUGAGACUUGCUGUAUGACCCAACGUGGAGUCCACUUUAAUAAACGCCCACUUGAACAGAUGCCAUUUCUCCAAGUAUUCGCUGAAGUUUGCAAAACUCAGGUCAAGUUGGUUAAACCUUGUAAAAAAAAAAAAACUAUAUCCUGUUCUUGUCUACCUGUUCCACUGCCUGGGGAGAGAGGCGGCCAUCAGCGUGGGCCUGUCAACUUCACCCCUCCUUCUGCCCUUUGUGCUGCCUGUACUGAAGCCAUGUCACUGCCCUCGCCCCUGCAACGUCACCCGUCACCUCCUGCCUUGGUCUAUCCCACCUGAUAUGGACAGUGACACCAGCCUUCUUCCUGUUAUGGUCUGCAUGGUAAGCAAUUUCCAAUUAUUCCACUUCAGCCUUGCUAGGUCUUCGUGUGCAAGGGUUUUGAAGUAUGGCUCCUGUAAGCAGUAUAGACUUGAGUUUUGUGUGAGCUUGGUUUUUAAUCCAGCCCGAUUAACUGGAGUGUGUCUUCUAUCCACCUUCAAUGGGAUGACUGACAGGCACAGCAGGGCGUCGGUCUACCAGCUGGCUGUUUUCUAUCUAUAUCCCACCUGGGUUUGUUUGUUUAUCUCUACGUUGUUCUGGCGAAUUCAUCACAUAUUUUUUGUUCCAUUUUUCUUCUUGAUUGCAUCUUUAAUCUGCCCUAGGGAUUGGUACAUUCUCUGCUUCCUGGUGAUGGAGCUCCUGAAACACAUUCACUCGGUUAAUCCCCUCCUCGGCUGUGUGUGUGUGUGCGCGCUGGUGCUUGUGUGUGUGUACAUGCACACGUGUGUUGGUGCUCCUGCUGUCUGUGUGUGCGCACGCGCUGGUGCUCCUGCUGUCAGAUAUGUUACUACCAAACAGGUUUUAAAACCCACAGGACGUUAGUAUUGGUGUUUUAAGCAGCUGGUGCUGGUGUCAUUUCACCACAGAGUCAUGCAUUCCAGCCUCCCUGCCCUUCCUUCCCUAGGCUGCAGGCUUUGCAGGCUUGCCUUGGAUACUUGCUGAAAUGGAGCAGUUCUGCCAACAAUCAACUCUCUCAUCCUUUGCUUGGCUGAAGACAUCCUUAACUGGCUUUCAUAUUUCAAGGAUAAUUUCACUGGAUAUAGAAUUCCCGUAUUUUUCUCUCAGCACUUUAGAGACGGCGCGCCUCAGCUGCCUUCGGGUGUCACUCUGCAGGUCAUGCAUUCCCACCCCGUCCUGUCCUCGGGCUGGAGAUUGUUCUCUUCGGGUUCCAGCAAUUCAACCAGGAUGCUCUGAGAUCUCUGGUGAAAUUCCCAUCAUUCCCCCGACUUUCUUGAAUAAUCAAUCAGUUACCAAAGUCCCUGCCUCCUGCCUCCAGCAUUUAAGUCCCCGACAGGUCCUUCACCGACAUUUUCCUCUUCAUCAUCAGUACCUUGGUCUUUAAAACACUAUUUUAAGCACCGCCUCCACCGUGGCUGAAAACUCUAAGAGCACUGGGUGUUUUUCUUCCUCCAAAGGAGGAAAAAAGAAACAAAAUUAUUAAAGUUGCG
This is a non-coding RNA of Homo sapiens (human), 1752 nucleotides long. The record is from RefSeq and is a predicted model, not a curated record. Lineage: Eukaryota; Metazoa; Chordata; Mammalia; Primates; Hominidae.